AAGGCUUUAAGUUAAAAAAAACUAGUACCCUUCAAAGCUAUCUAUAAAGAAAUAAUCUUUAAGUCUUA
RNAcentral lists this transfer RNA (68 nucleotides) under Euphyllodromia sp. Z257. RNAcentral describes it as "tRNA-Trp". The record is from RNAcentral. Lineage: Eukaryota; Metazoa; Arthropoda; Insecta; Blattodea; Pseudophyllodromiidae.